GGACAGGAAGCCAGUAAAGAGAUGCCAAAAUGGGUGUAAUGUGUCAAAGUUUCUGCUUCCUGUGAAAAGCCUGGCAGCAGCAUUUUGAACCAAUUAGACACCCCUAAUGCUGGACUGUGGUAAACCAGAAAAUAGAACAUUGCAGUAGUCCAAUCUAGAAAA
Thalassophryne amazonica is the source of this 162-nucleotide long non-coding RNA. RefSeq lists it as uncharacterized. Lineage: Eukaryota; Metazoa; Chordata; Actinopteri; Batrachoidiformes; Batrachoididae. The transcript has 2 exons. The record is from RefSeq and is a predicted model, not a curated record.